This 378-nucleotide unclassified non-coding RNA is filed under the name plant metagenome. RNAcentral's name for it is "partial contains 5.8S ribosomal RNA, internal transcribed spacer 2, and large subunit ribosomal RNA". The stretch from base 1 to 105 matches the Rfam family "5.8S ribosomal RNA", at positions 50 to 154 of the family's 154-position model. The record is from RNAcentral.
GAAAUGCGAUAAGUAAUGUGAAUUGCAGAAUUCAGUGAAUCAUCGAAUCUUUGAACGCACCUUGCGCUCCUUGGUAUUCCUUGGAGCAUGCCUGUUUGAGUAUCAUGAAAUCUUCAAAGUAAAUCUUUUGUUAACUCAAUUGGUUUCUACUUUGGUAUUGGAGGUCUUUGCAGCUUCACACCUGCUCCUCUUUGUUCAUUAGCUGGAUCUCAGUGUUAUGCUUGGUUCCACUCGGCGUGAUAAGUUAUCUAUCGCUGAGGACACUGUUAAAGGUGGCCAAGGUAAAUGCAGAUGAACCGCUUCUAAUAGUCCAUUGACUUGGACAAUACUUUUAUGAUCUGAUCUCAAAUCAGGUAGGACUACCCGCUGAACUUAAGC